This 499-nucleotide ribosomal RNA is filed under the name uncultured Glomeromycotina. RNAcentral describes it as "partial small subunit ribosomal RNA". It matches the Rfam family "Eukaryotic small subunit ribosomal RNA", at positions 591 to 1092 of the family's 1831-position model. The record is from RNAcentral. Lineage: Eukaryota; Fungi; Glomeromycota.
CCAAUAGCGUAUAUUAAAGUUGUUGCAGUUAAAAAGCUCGUAGUUGAAUUUCGGGAUCAAGGAAUCGGUCAUGCCUCGGUAUGUACUGGUUUUAUUGGUUCUCACCUUCUAAAGAACCAUGAUGUCAUUUAUUUGAUGUUAUGGGGAAUUUGGACUGUUACUUUGAAAAAAUUAGAGUGUUUAAAGCAAGCUAACGCUUGAAUACAUUAGCAUGGAAUAAUGAAAUAGGACGUUCGAUCCUAUUUUGUUGGUUUCUAGGAUUGACGUAAUGAUUAAUAGGGAUAGUUGGGGGCAUUAGUAUUCAAUUGUCAGAGGUGAAAUUCUUGGAUUUAUUGAAGACUAACUACUGCGAAAGCAUUUGCCAAGGAUGUUUUCAUUAAUCAAGAACGAAAGUUAGGGGAUCGAAGACGAUCAGAUACCGUCGUAGUCUUAACCAUAAACUAUGCCGACUAGGGAUCGGAUGAUGUUAAUUUUUUAAUGACUCAUUCGGCGCCUUACG